Molecule: ribosomal RNA, 487 nt
Filed under: uncultured Leptolinea sp.
Lineage: Bacteria; Bacillati; Chloroflexota; Anaerolineae; Anaerolineales; Anaerolineaceae
Description: bacterial SSU rRNA
Rfam family: Bacterial small subunit ribosomal RNA
Source: RNAcentral
GCCACGCCCGCUACAGAACUACAAAGGAAUUGACGGGCCCCGCACAAGCAGCGGAGCGUGUGGUUUAAUUCGAGGCUACACGAAGAACCUUACCAGGGUUUGACAUGCUAGUGGUAGGGAUCCGAAAGGUGACCGACCCCUCGGGGAGCUAGCACAAGUGCUGCAUGGCUGUCGUCAGCUCGUGUCGUGAGAUGUUCGGUUAAGUCCGCUAACGAGCGCAACCCUCGCUGUGUGUUACAAGUGUCACACGGAACUGCCGGUCAUAAACCGGAGGAAGGUGGGGAUGACGUCAAGUCAGCAUGGCCUUUAUAUCCUGGGCUACACACACGCUACAAUGGCCAACACAAUAGGUUGCUAAGCCGCGAGGUGGAGCCAAUCCUCAAAGUUGGUCUCAGUUCAGAUUGCAGGCUGCAACCCGCCUGCAUGAAGAUGGAGUUGCUAGUAACCGCAGGUCAGCUAUACUGCGGUGAAUACGUUCCCGGGGCUU